Molecule: long non-coding RNA, 3122 nt
Organism: Poecile atricapillus (Black-capped chickadee)
Lineage: Eukaryota; Metazoa; Chordata; Aves; Passeriformes; Paridae
Exons: 6
Source: RefSeq, a predicted model, not a curated record
GCCCGCUCCGCCGCCCUGAGCCCUCAGGGGCCGCGGCUGCCGCUCGGGAGCGCGUCCGGAGGCGUGCCACGAGUACUUGCUGAAAUAGUCACCUAGGGAGUAAACACUGCCAGCCAUGGCCGUGCUUUCUGAGAUAUGGAGCCCAGCCCAGUCAGAAGUUUGCCAAGAUAACCUCAUUGCAUCACGUGCCAAAGAGCCUCAAACAGCUGGAGCAUUGAAGGACUGUGACAUUUAAACAAGAUACUGAAAAUGCAAGUGGUGGCUUCUGGUGAGAAGCAAGGACAGUGUGGAGCCUGAAGGUAAACAGCAAAUGUACCUGAAUGCAUUCUAGUCCUGUGAGUGUGUGCAUCUGUCAUAAGUGUGUCACUUGCUAAGAGUCAAAAUAAGUCAAGCAGAGGACUGUAAUUCCUCUCUCCAUUAACUAGAUGUGACACUUCAGCAACUUUUUUCCUGACAUACAUCUGGUUUUCUGGAGCCCCUUAUCCUGAGGGAUCUACUGGACCUCCAGAUGCCCUUCAAGUAUUAGAUACCCACUGUGUGAUUUUCAAGGCAAGGAACUUAGAAGUUGCAAUCAAGUAUCUGUACUGACAGCUUCAUCAUUUGCCUGAUGGAAACUGGAAAACAAACAACCCCCUCUUCCAUUCUGCCACCAGAAGUGAGACUAAUUUAAAGUGCAAGGCAAGACUGUAAAAGUUUACUCCCAAUCCCUGUUCUUGUGGCCUUAAUAACCCUUUCACACGAUUUUUUGACAGCAAAAAAUAAUUGGCAAUAUAAAAGUUUUAAAGCAAUCCAUGGUGCUGUAUCUUCAUUGUCUCAGAGGAAGCACAAUACACAUAAUAAAGAGUAAAAGUUUACUCACUUGAAACUGAGCUUCAUCCUCAUCUGUUCAGCAUUGCAUAGAUUUUAAAUGUAUGAAAGAGGGAUGUAAGAAAGAAAUGAUAACAAAGUCUAUCUGUUCCGCUGUUUCUGUCACCAAAGACAACCAAAAUAAACAUGAUUUGGACUACAAACAUCUAUGGAUGAAUUAAUAUUUUCUGCCUCCUGAAUGUGCUACAGGAGAUCUCUGCAUUGGAAAUGAACCUUGCACUGUCUGGAUAUGCCCAGAGCUCUCUGAGCUACCUGCAGCAACACUAGCCACCAGGCAAAACAUAUUUUCUCGAUUUAUAUUUCCACUCAUUUGUUUAACUUCACUGCCAUCUGCUGUUAAGUAUGAGAACCUGGCCUGGAGGCCUGGGAAAUAGCUGUGAUGUGCCCAGCUUCUCCUAAGAAACAAAUGGAUGCUCUCCUGAGAACAUCCAAUCUUCUGCACAACCACCCAGCAUAUGUGGAAGCAGACUUUAUGAACUAAAAUCUCUUCAGAACUGGCUCAAAUUUGAAAUUCUGCAUGUUGCCAAGUUCGCGGAAAAUUACUGGUACUUGGUAGCUCUGACUUACUGCACGGUACAAGAGCCACUGCUAUCCUUCUCACUUUGGAACUCCCAGCUCACUUUGUCUUCCUGAAAGCAGGCUUGGCUGUUCUGCCUCUCACAGACCAGCACAGAUCUGUUUUCUCUGAGCCACUGUGAAACAUGCUGCUUCACUUCAUACACACUUCCAGAAAUAAAGGCAGGAGAAUCCUGAUGUGAUGUUCUGAUAGAGCAUAUGCACUCAAUUCAUCCUACUUCCUAAAUCAAAAACUUGCAGGAUUUUUUUGGCUAUACAAAGGGAAGAGUAUAGUUGGUGGAUUGACUAGACGACAGCCAGUUAGGGAGGCAAAGACUGACAAAAAAGAAAUGCACUGUCAGAUUUUUCUUUAAAUCUGCAGUACAAAGGGAACUGGGAGACAGUUUCAGCAGAAGAGAUGAAGACAGACAAAUGGCUUUAAGCUCAGUAGAACAGUAGGCAAGGUAAAAGGUUAAUUAUUCCUUUGAUGGAAGUUAGAGUCCCUGAAUUAUUGGGAGCAACUUCAUCUCCUCCCUAGAAGCAAUUCCUGGAUUUAGUAAUUUCUGCUCCCCCUGGCUUCAGUUAUGUCACUGCUCCAUGCUCACUGCUUGGCUUCCCAGCAGCCCCAGGCUUCCCAAAGUGGAAGGAAGUAAUUUCUGCUGCGUUCAGCCAUAGGAAAUUAAGAGUUUGGCAUGGCAUUUUAGUUUACAAGAAGUCUGAAUAAGAGAAGCAACACAUCUCUACAACCACAGGACAUCACAGCCUGGAGUAUGGUGUCAGAACAAGACCAAGAGAUGGGAAGGUGGAAGAGGUUAUAUUCCCUCACAGAGACAGAUUUAGGAAACAGGAUGUAGCUGCAUGCCUAUUUCUUAUAGUGAAUAAUUAACACGGAUCACAAGAAAAGGCAGCAGCAAUGGGCAGCAGAGCUUGCUGGAGUUUUUGACACUUGUUUUGUCAAUGAGCUGUGGCUUUAACAGCCAUUCCAAACAAACCACGCUGGACAGCAUAUGGCAUAACCCAGGUGUUUGUGUUCCUGUAGGAACUUUUCUCCGAAUUUCAAAAGUCAUGGAAGUUACAAGAUAUCCUUUUCCACCUUGUUUCUAGAAGGCACAGUUCCUGGUAAGAGGGCACACUUUGGAGAUAAGCAGAAUAACUCCAAAUGUAUUACAACCAGCCUUUCAAAAUCACAAGGAUAUGAACUACUGGGGACAGUGGAGAAACUGCUGGGAGAUUUCUACAAGAAAAGACUUCAUUAGCCUUGGACUGUAAAAAAAUCCAACAGUCACUGGAGUCAGCCAUGCUGCUGCUUUUGAGGUGACUGAUAAGAAAAAUGCUGACAAUCUUAGAGGUAAACCUUUCUCUUGAGUGCCCCUGCAUAAAGGAUGUGAAGUUUCAUAAUAAGGUAUUGAUAAUUCUUAUUUUUAUUGUAAACCUUGCAAUAUUUGAUAUUUGUUUAUAGACCACCUCCCAGAAUCAAAGGAUUAGGUGAAAGUCUGUUUUAAUUAAGAAACAAAGGUUUUCUUCAGAUUUUUCUCCCCACUUUGUGAGAUGUUGGGAGGAAGCAUAUCGCUUUUCUUUCAUGGUAAUCAUGAGAUGCUCUGUGCUGACUUACUCAGACAUGCUACUCAGUUUUAUGCUAGGUAACAUUCUGAUGAUUAUCUUUACGCUUUGGAGAUGUAAUGCUGCAUUAUCUUACUAAA